CCAGUCCGGCUCCAAUUAAAGGACUGUGACAUUCCCAGGCAAGUCUUUUCCCACGAAACAGCUACGGUGGAAACGUCUCUCCACAACGACAACAACUUUGGGCACUCAGAGAUGACAGGUCAUCAUUGUCCACUAAAAGGAAAAGGAGACCUUGGAAAUCAGUGAUAAAACACGGAAAUCAACUGCCCUUAGAUCAGGAGUCGGAAGACGAGCAGAGAGUGGGAGUAGCGAUAGUGGUGGAGGAGUGAACCCGGAGCAGGU
This 261-nucleotide long non-coding RNA is filed under the name Sinocyclocheilus grahami. RNAcentral describes it as "lncRNA (ENSSGRG00000029891.1)". The record is from RNAcentral. Lineage: Eukaryota; Metazoa; Chordata; Actinopteri; Cypriniformes; Cyprinidae.